This 60-nucleotide non-coding RNA is filed under the name Methylocystis sp. RNAcentral describes it as "Fluoride sequence". It matches the Rfam family "Fluoride riboswitch aptamer (crcB RNA motif)". The record is from RNAcentral. Lineage: Bacteria; Pseudomonadati; Pseudomonadota; Alphaproteobacteria; Hyphomicrobiales; Methylocystaceae.
CCUUGUCCCGGCGAUAGAGUUCGCGCUCAACCGCCUGCGGCUGAUGACCCCUGCUCUACA